GCCGGGAUAGCUCAGUUGGUAGAGCAGAGGACUGAAAAUCCUCGUGUCCCAGUUCAAAUCUGGUUCUUGGCA
Molecule: transfer RNA, 72 nt
Filed under: Menkea sphaerocarpa
Lineage: Eukaryota; Viridiplantae; Streptophyta; Magnoliopsida; Brassicales; Brassicaceae
Description: tRNA-Phe
Rfam family: tRNA
About the family: Transfer RNA (tRNA) molecules are approximately 80 nucleotides in length.
Source: RNAcentral